GACGGAGGAUGCAAGCGUUAUCCGGAAUGAUUGGGCGUAAAGCGUCCGCAGGUGGCAGUUCAAGUCUGCUGUCAAAGGCCGGGGCUUAACUUCGGAAAGGCAGUGGAAACUGAACAGCUAGAGUAUGGUAGGGGCAGAGGGAAUUCCUGGUGUAGCGGUGAAAUGCGUAGAGAUCAGGAAGAACAUCGGUGGCGAAGGCGCUCUGCUGGACCAUAACUGACACUCAGGGACGAAAGCUAGGGGAGCGAAUGGG
RNAcentral lists this ribosomal RNA (253 nucleotides) under uncultured bacterium. RNAcentral's name for it is "partial 16S ribosomal RNA". It matches the Rfam family "Bacterial small subunit ribosomal RNA", at positions 524 to 776 of the family's 1533-position model. The record is from RNAcentral.